UCCUACGGGGGGCAGCAGUGGGGAAUCUUGCACAAUGGGGGAAACCCUGAUGCAGCGACGCCGCGUGAGCGAUGAAGCCCUUCGGGGUGUAAAGCUCUUUCGACGGGAACGAUAAUGACGGUACCCGGAGAAGAAGCUGCGGCUAACUACGUGCCAGCAGCCGCGGUAAUACGUAGGCAGCAAGCGUUGUUCGGAGUUACUGGGCGUAAAGAGUGCGUAGGCGGUGCUCCAAGUCUGGUGUGAAAUCUCCCGGCUUAACUGGGAGGGUGCGCCGGAUACUGGAGUGCUUGAGUGUGGGAGAGGAAAGCGGAAUUUCUGGUGUAGCGGUGAAAUGCGUAGAUAUCAGGAGGAACACCGGUGGUGUAGACGGCUUUCUGGACCACUACUGACGCUGAGGCGCGAAAGCGUGGGGAGCAAACAGGAUUAGAUACCCUUGU
This 437-nucleotide ribosomal RNA is filed under the name uncultured bacterium. RNAcentral's name for it is "bacterial SSU rRNA". It matches the Rfam family "Bacterial small subunit ribosomal RNA", at positions 337 to 791 of the family's 1533-position model. The record is from RNAcentral.